AAUCUCUCUCUAUCACUUACACAAUCUUUCUCUGUCUCUCUUGGUUAUCUCCAUAUUAAGGUAAGGGGGUCUUCUAUCAUCAGGAAAACAUAAGGUAGAUGAGCACAAACGAUGGCUUAUUUAGGUGGAUUUGCAAAUCUUUUCACUCUUUAGGGCAUAUUCCAAUCAACUACUGCUUGAAAUUUGACUGAUCAAUGUGAUGCAAAAUUCACGGCAUGGCUUGUUUUAGCAGCUAGUUUCGACAACCUAAUCACCCGAAAAUAACAAACAAUCGGAAAUGCAGCGCGAUAAGUAGAUAUAUGUCUGUGAUCACCCAAUUAGCCACAAAAUAGUGUACUAUGUUUGUGAUGUUACCCUUUUACUCUUCAAUUUUAAAUACAUAUCUCGUUAUA
This 392-nucleotide non-coding RNA is filed under the name Arabidopsis thaliana (thale cress). The record is from RNAcentral. Lineage: Eukaryota; Viridiplantae; Streptophyta; Magnoliopsida; Brassicales; Brassicaceae.